CUCUCUGCGAAAACCCGCCUCCUCAGUUACAUCACAAAGGAAACACGCCUUCUAAGGGCAAAAGCUGCCUGUUUCCACGCCCUCACAUUCAAACUGAAAACUGCGCGCCAAGGUUUUGCAGCAGAACAGAUUUGGAAUGAAAAAGUGAGAUAAUGGAACAUUUCUGGAUCUCAUCACUUGAAGACUCUCUGCGCAAGGAGUCUGACGCACGUGUGCAGAGAACGAUACAUAUUGUAAAACGAGGUUCAAGAGAGGAUUUUAUGCAAAAUCACUUGACAUGUCUUAAGGAGAAUGGAACUGGCACAUUUGUAGCUAUCAAAAAAAGAGGGGAAAAUCACUUUCAGUGGCAAUGUGAAAGGUCCAAUAAACCAAAAGAUGUGUCAUGGUAGAUAGGGACAUGAAAGAAAUCAAUGCAGUACACACAGUGUUUCCUUAUGCAAAGGUGUUGCUGUGCUGGUUCCAUGUACUUCAGGUAAAAAACCAAAACCACUUUCAGUUAGGGGUCAUUCCGGGUUGAUUGCAGUGUAGCAAUGACUUUGGUCCAUACCAAGUGGACUAAAAUGCAGUCUAGCAAAUGCUGCAAAUUAGACCUGAUUGCACCGUACCAAAACCAAAUAGUUAAUCAUGUGAAUUGGUUCAGCUGAUGUGAACAUGCAGAACACGUUAGACCGCCCAUGUGGACCAAUAUCAGAAGCAAUGCAGAAGAUAAGUCACAUCAAACUUUUAACAGUUUAAAACCCUCAGUAGAAUAAAUGUCAUCUAAAAGAGUUCCAAAAUUUUCCAUAGAGGAAAAGAUGUAUUUAGUACACCUAAUUAAAAACUACAUUAACAAAGCUUACAGCACCAGCAAAGAAGACGAGAAUGUUGUAUUACGUAAAAUGGCAUGGAAAAAUAUUGAACAGAAUUUCAAUGCUAACCUUUUGGGGCGGCCGCAAAUUUUUCAGGAUAGAGGUGUACAGUACUAACUGUAGUCCAAGCACAUGGACUAAACCUCCUCAUUCCACUAGUUCAGGGGUGGCCAACCCUGGUACUGGAGAGCCACAAUCCUGCAGGUUUUAUAGGUCUCUCUAAAUCAUCAAACACUAAUCAACUGGCACCCAUGGGAAUUUUGACCAAUUAAGACCAAUUAAUAAUGUCAAUUAAGUUAUCAAGGGCUCGGUUAAAACAAAAACCAGAAGACCCUGUGGCUCUCAAGGACCAGGGUUAGCCAGUCCUGCACUAGUUAGAUGAAUCAAGUGGACUAACUGGUACAGUGCAAUCGACCCUCAAUGACUAAUUAUUUAAAUAUAUCUAUAGAUAACCUACUGAUUUCAAUUGCACUUAGUAUAAAAGUACUUGAGAGUGGGUAUUUAUAUCCAUAAUGUAGAAUUCAUAUACAAGGUCUUAAAGCCUUAUAUCAGGGGUAGGCGACCCUGGUCCUGGAGUGCCACAAUCCUGCAGAGUUUGUAGGUAUCUCUUAAUCAUCAAUUAUUAAAUCCCUGGAACAAAUGGUAAUUCUGAUAAAUUAAGCUAAUCAAUGAGUCAAUGAAUUUAUUAAGGGUCUUGGGGUAAACAAAAAACUGAAGUGUUUGUGGCAGUGGUUCCCAACCCUGGUCCUGGAGGACCACCUACCCUGCUGGUUUUUGUUCCAACGAGCUCUCAAUUACUUAAUUGAACCCUUAAUUUAAGCAAUAGUUUAAACUGGACUUUUCAAAUCAUGUAACUUAUAAAAAGUUGGAGAAUUCAAGUUCCUUAUACAAUUUUACACCUAACUUGGAACCCCAACUGUUUAACAGAAUUAAAAGGCUCUGAUUAGGCAAAUUAUUAGUUCGAUUAAGUAAUUGCAAGCUCGGUUGGAACAAAAACCAGCAGGUUAGGGGGUCCUCCAGGACCAGGGUUGGGAAUCACUGGUCUGUGGCACUCCAGGACCAGGGGUGUCUACCCCUGCCUUAUAUAUUCAGAAAAAUAUCUGCCUCCUCCCAGACCAGCUUUUGGCAAAAUGACAGAAUGCAAACUUGUGUGCAUUAUAAAAUAAAAAAAGAUUUUAUGGUAGAAAUUUGGUAUCUCCUAAGUCUGAAGGUUACAGGAAGGGAAUUGAAUGACAAUCUGAUUGAUAAAAAAUGAAAACAUUGUUCCUUAAUGUGAUCUAACAAAAGUGAAACAAAGUAGCAGAGUCAGAAAACUGUUCAUUCCAAUUGCAUUUUACAUGCGUCUUCAUACUUAGAUUUGAUUAUACUUGAUUUAUUAUAAUGAUCAUUUUUAUUAUGUAAUUUACACAAUCCAUGAUACAUAGCAAAUUCAAAACUAAUAUACAAUACGUUUUAAAAAAUCAGUGUACAAUAGUUACAAUUUUGAAAGCAAACAAAAAACAGACCAUGUGCUAUAGUACUUUCUAACACAGACUUAGACAGUGAUAAUUAUCAACGUUUAGUUUUUAGUUUUUUAAAGGCGGUACACAGAUGGAUUGUCCGACGUGAUGGAGGAUGCAGUCAGAAUCUGUCUGCAAAAAAUGAAGUGAUUAGGUCUAUGAUUGCCUUAAAACAAUGCAGUACAGUAAGUUUCUUUUUCUUUCUUUCUUCCACGUUAGCAAACGUCAUAAGGUGCUGAUCUUUAUUGAUGAGUUCAAAGUUUGUUUUUUAAUUUCCUUCUCACCACAAUAAUGACAUACUGUUGCUCAUUCAUGGAUAAUCCAUUUACCAUAAUUAUACUACCCAUCUUUGUAAUAGAAUUUGUAUAUUGACAAACGUGUAUUUUUUGAAAAAAAAUUAUUUGGUAUGCAUGUCUUUCUGUUAACAUUUUUUUUAUUUAUUUUCAUUCAUUUUAGGCUGCCGAGUUUGAAAAGAUGUCAAAGGAAGUGAUUGUCAAAACAGACAGAUAAACUGGCAGUUCAGUAAUUUCACAGUAUCUACAGGACCAUUGGUUUCGAAAUGCAGACAUGUGGGCCAAUUUUGGACGGAGAGUUUACCACCAAGACAGUGAAACGAACAACCUUGUUGAGAGAUUUUUUUUCAGCAUGAAGUAUCAGUUUCUUCAUGGCUAUGCAAACAGACGAGUUGAUGAACUACUUCUACUACUUAAUACCAAGGUGGUCACUUACUAGAGGUAUCUGGAAGGUCUUCAUGGUGCUCAGAGGAUUUCUGAUUCCAAAACACAGGAUACUGCAGAAUCUGCAUUACGUAUGAAGAACAAAGGCCUUCAAAAUAAUUUUGUUUACAAAUCAGGUGGCCAUUGCACAGUGCCUUCAGAAGCAGAUAAAGCAAAAUGUUAUGCUAUGGAUUUAAUUAGCAGGACAUGUGAAUGCGCCGUUUCUGAAAGGGGUAAUUUGUGCAAGCAUAUUGAGUUUGCAAAAAUGAUGUGCAAAGAACAGGGGAUUGAUAUUGAUGGAAUUCGAAAAGAAUUAGCCAGUUCACUAACUGAACAGCAUUGCUAUGAGUGGGAUGGAAAACAUUUAAUUGUACAUUGUGCUGGUAGUUUUGGAGUAGUACAUGUGCAAAACCAACAGUGUACCUGUCUUGCCAAUAGUCUUGGAGAAAUAUGUGUCUGUCUAAGACUUUCUGAGUUAAUUGGUACACAGAACCCUAACCAAGAGGUAACUGACUGCUUUGUGAAUACCACAGCAAAUUGUCAAUCACACAAUAAACAGUUGUGUGUAAAGAAGAUGAUUUCAGACUUAAAGGAGUGGUGUGACAGCAGUGAUUAUAAGGAAUCUCCAGAGUUGAAUGCUGUAGUAAAACGUGCACACCAACUAGCAUUUGGACAGUAUAGCAUGGCCAGCAAUAAAAUAAAAAUUAUAAGGCUGCAUGCUUACAGAAAACGCAUUGAAAGAGCAAGAAGCCAUGCUAUAGACAUGCAUUCAUAUCAGCUCAAAGAACCCCUUAAUCAAGCUUUAUAUACCCAUAGACCUGAUUCCAAAUUCAAAGUCUGUUCCUUUAGAAAAAGAAUAAUUGGUAGCAGAGCAAAGAAUCGGAUACUAAAAUCGAGCUGAACGUGUGCUGUUAUGAGCCCACGCCUUUAUUUUUGAAUUACAGAAUGCACACAAAACUGGACAAAGUAUAGAGGUUAAUUACAACUGUUAAGGACCUCAAAGGUCUCUUCAAGUAAGAGUGAAAUAGCUAUUUCACUCUUACUUGAAGCAGCAUGUUAUCAAAAAUAAAAUAUAUGUUGCAUAGUUCUAAUUGCUGAUGAUUGUAUUCUGGCCAAGUUGGUCGAUAUUUGAUAUGGUAUGUCUCCCUUUUCUCUCUUAAUCAGAUUACUUAAAUAACACUUAAAUGUGCAUUAUUGUAACACUUUGUAAAGAAGUUGUAAAAAUAUGAUUUGUAGUAAAUAGAAAGUGCAAUCUUUAAGUAGCGAGUAGUGUAAAAGCAAAUUGUUAACAUAAAAAUCUAAGCCUGAACUGAAUUUCUUUCAAAGGGGGAACAUGUCAGGGGGUCAUUAGAGCUGAGAAGUGGGGAGGAGGGUUCUUCUGUACAGCACUUUUUUCCACAAUUGGGUCCAGUACUUUGUAUUGCUCUGUAUCAGUCUGUUGAAGCAUGUAUGUGCAGUUUUACAUUUCAAUA
Molecule: RNA transcript, 4535 nt
Organism: Acipenser ruthenus (sterlet)
Lineage: Eukaryota; Metazoa; Chordata; Actinopteri; Acipenseriformes; Acipenseridae
Exons: 5
Source: RefSeq, a predicted model, not a curated record